GCUUGGAGGGACUGUGUCGGAACUCAGGACAUACCUCUGGGAGUCUGGAGUUUCCUGGGACCCUUGCCAGGGGGCUCAGAGACCCUGGCACACAGCCCAGAACACCAUCGGGUUCGAGUGCGGGCCAUGGAACAGCUUGGCACCUUUGCAUGAGAAGAUAAAAGCCACGGCAGUUUAGAUGGUAUAGGGAUAAAAUAUUCACAGAGUGUAAAUGUAGGUUUUAGGAUUUUUGGUAUAGGGGUUUCUGGUGACAAGAUGGAGGGAUUUGGGUGUGUCUAGCCUUUCUUCUUCUUCUCUACCUCCAUCUUGUCUGGUGAUGUUGGCACUUUUAGAUUGGUCUAGAGUAGAAACUCACUGUCUAGCGUAGAUGAUAGGUAUUGGAAAAUAACUGUAAAUAUUGUACACGUAGUUUGUAGUAUAUAAAGAUAACACCGCCCUGGGGGAGGGCGGAGUGCCUCUGACUGUCCUGCUGAACGGAUCUCGGCUGGACAGGGAGAAAGAAUUUUAUAGAUAAGAUGUAAUAAACAACCUUGAGACCGAAAAAUGAAGAGCCCUGACUCCUUCUUCAAGCACCCGGCUGGGAAAAGAAACUUUUGAACUUUUUCGGGGUCACUCUGACCAGCUAGAGAGAGAGACCCCGGCAACUGGCGUUCCCUGGGUGAGCUCGAAGAAAGAUGCGCAAUUGGAGUUCCCUGGCUUGGCUGCAAGAAAGACCCGGAAUUUGGCAUUCCCAGGUGAGCUGCAAGAGCUGGGCGGCAAGAGAACAACCCCGAUGGGUGGAAAGAGAGACGGCUGCAAGAGGUGGGCAGCAAGAGAGCACCCAGGUGGGCAGUUGGCAGGCAGCGACGCCACCAGACAUCAGCCGCUGAAACACAGCCCGUGAAGAGAAAAAAAAAAAAAAAAGGACAAGGAAAAGAAGCAGGCACUCCCAAAAGAAAAAAAAAAAAAAAAAAAAAAAAAGAAAAAAAAAAAAAAAGGAAAAAGAAAAAAAAAGAGAGAAAAAAAAAUACCCAGACAGAAGAUCCAAGAUCCAACUUCUGCUGAACAGACUCGCAUCCAGAUCUGGCAGGGGGUCCAGUGACCAGGGCGACCUCCGAACCGACCUCGCAAAUGAUUCAGCUUUUGGACCCAUUCUUCACCUCCAAGAUUUUGAGAAAAUCCUCCAGUCUCUUCGGGGACGUGGAUUUGUUUGUUUUAGCAGGUACAAAAGUCCAGGUGAACCUCAGUGAAGAAUGUGAAACUCCAUCCAGUGCAAGACAAUGUUGACAAGAAGCGCAGGCAAGAAAACACUGACCAUUCCAUAAGCAGAAAAGAAGAUAUACAGAUGUAGACUGCACAGAGAUUCCAACCCUUGUGCUUUGCCCACAGAAGACUGUGGACUUUGGGUCACUUCAGGGGUGUGGGAAUCAGUGGUGUUGUAAAAUUGUUGUUAGAUGAUAGCUUGUUAUAUUUUAGUAAGGCUUUUAGUUCUCUUGUUCAUUAUGCCAUGCAUUCUUUUGUGCAUUCUUUUUGUACAGCGGGUUGUGAACCAGGUUGUCAAAGAGGUCUUCUUGGUGCAAACAGAAGGGGGAGAUGUCGGAACUCAGGACAUACCUCUGGGAGUCUGGAGUUUCCUGGGACCCUUGCCAGGGGGCUCAGAGACCCUGGCACACAGCCCAGAACACCAUCGGGUUCGAGUGCGGGCCAUGGAACAGCUUGGCACCUUUGCAUGAGAAGAUAAAAGCCAUGGCAGUUUAGAUGGUAUAGGGAUAAAAUAUUCACAGAGUGUAAAUGUAGGUUUUAGGAUUUUUGGUAUAGGGGUUUCUGGUGACAAGAUGGAGGGAUUUGGGUGUGUCUAGCCUUUCUUCUUCUUCUCUACCUCCAUCUUGUCUGGUGAUGUUGGCACUUUUAGAUUGGUCUAGAGUAGAAACUCACUGUCUAGCGUAGAUGAUAGGUAUUGGAAAAUAACUGUAAAUAUUGUACACGUAGUUUGUAGUAUAUAAAGAUAACACCGCCCUGGGGGAGGGCGGAGUGCCUCUGACUGUCCUGCCGAACGGAUCUCGGCUGGACAGGGAGAAAGAAUUUUAUAGAUAAGAUGUAAUAAACAACCUUGAGACCGAAAAA
Molecule: long non-coding RNA, 2103 nt
Organism: Serinus canaria (Common canary)
Lineage: Eukaryota; Metazoa; Chordata; Aves; Passeriformes; Fringillidae
Exons: 2
Source: RefSeq, a predicted model, not a curated record